UAAUACGGAGGGUGCAAGCGUUGUCCGGAUUUAUUGGGUUUAAAGGGUGCGUAGGUGGCGUAUUCAGUCAGUGGUGAAAGCCUGCAGCUUAACUGUAGAGGUGCCAUUGAUACUGACAUGCUUGAGUAUGGACGAGGUAGGCGGAAUUUGUGGUGUAGCGGUGAAAUGCAUAGAUACCACAAGGAACACCGAUAGCGAAGGCAGCUUACUGGACCAUAACUGACACUGAGGCACGAAAGCGUGGGGAGCGAACAGGAUUAGAUACCCUGGUAGUCCACGCCGUAAACGAUGCCCACUCGAUGUAUGCGAUAUACUGUAUGCGUCCAAGCGAAAGCGUUAAGUGAGCCACCUGGGAGUACGCUCGCAAGAGUG
RNAcentral lists this ribosomal RNA (372 nucleotides) under uncultured Bacteroidota bacterium. RNAcentral's name for it is "bacterial SSU rRNA". It matches the Rfam family "Bacterial small subunit ribosomal RNA", at positions 521 to 896 of the family's 1533-position model. Lineage: Bacteria; Pseudomonadati; Bacteroidota. The record is from RNAcentral.